Molecule: ribosomal RNA, 2817 nt
Filed under: Eimeria brunetti
Lineage: Eukaryota; Apicomplexa; Conoidasida; Eucoccidiorida; Eimeriidae
Description: eukaryotic LSU rRNA
Rfam family: Eukaryotic large subunit ribosomal RNA (bases 1570-2817)
Source: RNAcentral
UCCUGUGCAAAUGUUGGUUUGCAAUAAUGUCUAGAUNUACUGCGGACACCAGAGGAACUGCGUUCAAGUCCAAUUAGGGGUGAAAGUAAUGUACCUACGUUUGGAUAAAGAAAAGCAAGCAAACCUUUGGAAGUAGGUAAUUCUUUAUAACUCGCGGUAGUUAGAAUAUAUGAAUGAACAUCCAACUGUUAUAAGUGCUCAAGAUUGAAAAGCAGUGAAGGUUAGGUUACAUAAAAGGAAAAUGAGAAGACCGUCUACACUAAAGACUCCACUCCAACAUAGGACGUAAACGCUGUUUGAGGUAGACGAGCUCCAACAAUAAGAAACGCAAUAAAUAAAUAUAUGUGCAUAAUGCGUCAUGGAGUUGUACAGGUCGUUUUAGGAGAAUUGUUGACGUAAGCCUACUGCGAGAGUAAGCGACCGAACAUGGACUGAAAAUAGUAAACUAGAAUUCUACCUGCGGAAGGGAAUGUGCCUCCACUUUUAAUUGGGAUGAAGUAACUAUAACAGAGUAAUGGAGAGCGUAAUGUACUGGGAAAUACCGCUGGGGUACAAUUUUGUAUGUUUUCGCAAGUCUAUUUGCAGGUGUACUAUUACCUGGGUGGGAUAUUCCAGUUAGACCAAGACGUGAUUCCGCUAGAAGGAAUAGGGAUAAAUAUUUCUACGCCUUCCAGCUGUAGCUAAUGCAUGAGAGUAUAAUGGUACUUUAAAUGCUGUUUGGGUGCCUGACCGGUUGCUANUCCAGCUGUAGCUAAUGCAUGAGAGUAUAAUGGUACUUUAAAUGCUGUUUGGGUGCCUGACCGGUUGCUAUGUCCACUCUAGUGUCAGUAGAAAAUAUGUACUGUCACAGGAGGUGGGAGGGGCUGUACAAAAGAUUGUGCAAUGCACAUUGUUGUCCAUGCUGAAUGGAUUCGUUUUGGGUAACAUUCGCGAAGGUCGCGAGGUAUUUCGGCGUUCAUGUCCAUGUUGAAUCUAUUCAUGUUGGAUGGGCAUUAAAAGCUGGGUUUGCGAGCCAGCUGGGAGUCGCUGUUUCGCGAGAAAAGGAGUCGAAAGGUUGAUGCGAGGGAGCAUCACGCCUGACGGCACGCGCUAGGCUAGGACCAACCGUAUUCACGCAUGCUAAAGUUCUCAUCAUGCUACCGAGUAUGUUGGUGUUAGUGUCUUAUUAGCCCAUUAGUGUGUUCUACAGCUUACGAUGUGUGUGCGUGAGAGCGAGCUCCUCCUGUCGCUCGCUUCGCGCCAUUGUCUGGUAUGUGAAACACCCAGAUGCGGUGGCUCUAACGGAUGCAGUCAGUGCUAAUUUCGCGCUGGAUGGCCCGCUCUGUACGACCAUUGAUCCCAUGGUCGUGCCUAGGCACUCGUCUGUUAUCAUUUCCAGUACACCCAAGGGAGUAUAAUAGUGUCUGCACUGUCACCCGUCACCGACGGGCAUUAUAAUGUGUUUUGAGUCUUUGGUGCUUUUCUUCUUUGUGGAAACGAGCCGAUCCUAACGAGUUCUUCUUAUGAUCUUCAAAGGCAAUAGUUACAUCAGCUACUGCUAUCUGCUUGCGUUUUUCGUCUCGUAGGAUGGUGUCUGGUGUCAAUAAGGUCUUCACGUCCUUCGGAGUGCAUUUUUUAGCCAUCCCAUGACAGCGUACUUGUACGGGUUGGCUUCUAAACCUGUCAAUGGAAGGACUGCCUUCACCACCUGAUGAAGGCGGCUGAUCUCCUCACAGGCGUUGCAACAGUCUUCAACUCAUCUGCGUACGCUUAAGGUAGCCAAAUGCCUCGUCAGCUAAUUAGUGACGUCCAUGAGUGGACUAACGCGAUUCCUAUUGUCCCUAUCUACUAUCGCGUGACCCCACAGUCAAGGGAACGGGAUUGGCGGAAUCAGCGGGGAAAGAAGGCCCUGUUGAGCUUGACUCUAGUCCGACUUUGUGGAGCAACUUGGGGGGUGUAGCAUAGGUGAGAGCUUCGGCGAUCGUGAAAUACCAAUACCCUCAGUUUCGUUUAUUCCGCACAUACCGUGCAUGCAUUUCAACUUGACUGAUUCCGUCAAGUUGAGACGCAUGCACGGUAUGUGGUUUUGUCAUAAGGUGCCUCUCGGAUUGCUGAUCAAUGCGGAAGACAGAGUCAGGUGGGAAGUUUGACUGGGGCGGCACAUCUGGAAAAUAAUAGCAUAGGUGUAGUAAGACAAGCUCAAUGAGAACAAAAAUAACUUAAUGACCAAAACGGGAAACGUUUGCUGGUUUUGAUUUCCAGUACGAACCCAAACUGUGAAAGUAUGACCUGUAGAUCCUUUACGUCUGAGUAACCUUCAGCUAGAGGUGUCAGAAACGUCGCCUCAGGCAUAACUGGCUUGCGGCAGCCAAGCUUUCAUAGCGACGUUGGUUUUUGAUCCUUCAAUGUCUGCUCUUCGUAUCACUGCGACGGAGAAGUCUCAAAGUGUCGGAUUGUUUACCCGCCUAUAGGGAACCUGAGCUGGGUUUAGACCGUCGUGAGACAGGUUAGUUUUAUCCUACUGAUAAAUGUGAUACUGCGAUAGUAGUCAAACUGAGUACGAGACGAACAGGUGGGUCAUAUACUUGGUUAAUGCGGAUAGCUGAAAUGCUAGUGCUGCGACGCUACGAUAUGUUGGAUUUUGACUGGACACCUCUAAGCCAGAAUCCAUGCUGGCUAAGCAGUGUUUCUCGUUGCCUCACUUGUUACUCGCAUGUCUUUUUAGUGCCUCGACCAUAAUAUCUUGUUACGGCCCUUCGCGUUACGCGCCGGGCGACAAUAGCAAUUGCCCACGAUUGGGGCGGUACAGCCACUGCAUACGGCUUUGGCGCAACCAGG